CAGCCGCCGCGGUAAUACGAAGGGGGCUAGCGUUGUUCGGAAUUACUGGGCGUAAAGGGCGCGUAGGCGGCCAUUCAAGUUAGAUGUGAAAGCCCUGGGCUCAACCUAGGAAUUGCAUUUGAUACUGUUCGGCUUGAGUUCGGGAGAGGUGAGUGGAAUUCCGAGUGUAGAGGUGAAAUUCGUAGAUAUUCGGAAGAACACCAGUGGCGAAAGCACUCUGCUGGGCCGACACUGACACUGAGAGACGAAAGCUAGGGGAGCAAAUGGGAUUAGAUACCCCAGUAGUCCCUGUCUCUUAUAA
This 301-nucleotide ribosomal RNA is filed under the name uncultured bacterium. Its description in RNAcentral is "partial 16S ribosomal RNA". It matches the Rfam family "Bacterial small subunit ribosomal RNA", at positions 509 to 809 of the family's 1533-position model. The record is from RNAcentral.